UACGAAGGGGGCUAGCGUUGCUCGGAAUCACUGGGCGUAAAGCGCACGUAGGCGGACUCUUAAGUCGGUGGUGAAAUCCUGGAGCUCAACUCCAGAACUGCCUUCGAUACUGAGAGUCUCGAGUCCGAGAGAGGUGAGUGGAACUGCGAGUGUAGAGGUGAAAUUCGUAGAUAUUCGCAAGAACACCAGUGGCGAAGGCGGCUCACUGGCCCGGAACUGACGCUGAGGUGCGAAAGCGUGGGGAGCAAACAGG
This 253-nucleotide ribosomal RNA is filed under the name uncultured bacterium. Its description in RNAcentral is "partial 16S ribosomal RNA". It matches the Rfam family "Bacterial small subunit ribosomal RNA", at positions 524 to 776 of the family's 1533-position model. The record is from RNAcentral.